Molecule: long non-coding RNA, 1207 nt
Organism: Dicentrarchus labrax (European seabass)
Lineage: Eukaryota; Metazoa; Chordata; Actinopteri; Moronidae
Exons: 3
Source: RefSeq, a predicted model, not a curated record
AGGAAGCAGAAGGCCACAGCCUCCAAGACUCCCAGAGAUAACGGAGGGAUGAUGGAGGAAAAAGAGCGUCUGUAGUGUGUGUUUGAGUAUUUCAUGGUUAUAGUGCUGUGAGUGAGCUGAUAACUGGUGGGAGUCAACAAGCUGGACAAAUGGGACAAAUUGUUAUCAGGAGUACAGGAAAGGAAAAAGUUGACCGAGGUUCCGACCGAGGCUUGUUCAACUGCUAUUGGAACGCAGAGCCGAAAGGGACGGGACUUAGGAAGGGUCAAGGACAACAGAGUGAAUAAAUGUCUCAUCAUCCUGUCCAGCUGCGGAUUUGACUUGAAACCAGAACAAACUUGAUGACCAGCUGCCAUUUUGAUAUUUGGUGAAAUAAAACCAACGGACUAGAAGAGUUCAGAGAUUCAGCAGCAGCAGCAGCAGGAGUUACUAAACCUGGUCCCAGCUCAAUAUUUCCAUGAUUACUCAACCAAUAAGAUAAGAUUUUAGAUUAAUGAAGCUCCUGUGUUACAGACUCGGGUCUGGGUUUAGAAAACACUGGAAAAAAAAGAUUGUGAUUCACUUGAUUCACUCUUGAAUAUCAAACUCUCUUACUGUUCUCUCUCACCUUCAGCUGAAGACAUUUAGAGCUAUUGAUCCAUUAGAUUCUGAGAUAUCUCCAGUGCCUGAUAUAUCUUAGUCCUCUGUGCCAUAGAGAGAGAUAGAGACUACAAACACCAUGAACACACACACUGAAGUUUCCCACAUACACUGUCCUGCUGCCAGAAAAUGCAUCAAAUGUGUAUUAAUCCAUCGCUGAAAGUAGUCCCCAACGAAGGCACGGUUUCCUCCAGUUUUAGAAACAUUUGGUAAAAACUACAGUGACCACCUUUUUAGGAAAUAACUGAGCUGUUUUAAAAUAAAAUUAAAUAACGAUGUGAACUGUUUUCUAAGAUUUACGUCUUCGUUAAGAAUUAGAUUAGAUUAGAUUAGAUUUACUUUAUUAAUCCCCGAAGGGAAAUUGGGUCGUCAUAGCAGCCAGGUACAUUUAAAUACAAUAAAAUACAACAAUAGAAUAAAGUACUGAGGUAGAAAAGAUAAAAAGAAAAGAUAAAGAUAAAAAGAUAAUAGGAACCGGUGGGCUGGUGUGAGCCACAGCUGAGGGAAGUAAAAAAGUAUGUUCUAAAACUGACAUUUAUGUCAUUUUUAACAAUAAGUAAAAUAUAGC